UUAAGUUAUUAAGGGCGCACGGUGGAUGCCUUGGCACUAGAAGCCGAUGAAGGACGUUACUAACGACGAUAUGCUUUGGGGAGCUGUAAGUAAGCUUUGAUCCAGAGAUUUCCGAAUGGGGAAACCCAGCAUGAGUUAUGUCAUGUUAUCGAUAUGUGAAUACAUAGCAUAUCAGAAGGCACACCCGGAGAACUGAAACAUCUUAGUACCCGGAGGAAGAGAAAGAAAAUUCGAUUCCCUUAGUAGCGGCGAGCGAAACGGGAAGAGCCCAAACCAACAAGUUUGCUUGUUGGGGUUGUAGGACACUCUAUACGGAGUUACAAAGGACGACAUUAGACGAAUCAUCUGGAAAGAUGAAUCAAAGAAGGUAAUAAUCCUGUAGUCGAAAAUGUUGUCUCUCUUGAGUGGAUCCUGAGUACGACGGAGCACGUGAAAUUCCGUUGGAAUCUGGGAGGACCAUCUCCUAAGGCUAAAUACUCUCUAGUGACCGAUAGUGAACCAGUACCGUGAGGGAAAGGUGAAAAGCACCCCGGAAGGGGAGUGAAAUAGAACCUGAAACCGUGUGCUUACAAGUAGUCAGAGCCCGUUAAUGGGUGAUGGCGUGCCUUUUGUAGAAUGAACCGGCGAGUUACGAUUUGAUGCAAGGUUAAGCAGUAAAUGUGGAGCCGUAGCGAAAGCGAGUCUGAAUAGGGCGUUUAGUAUUUGGUCGUAGACCCGAAACCAGGUGAUCUACCCUUGGUCAGGUUGAAGUUCAGGUAACACUGAAUGGAGGACCGAACCGACUUACGUUGAAAAGUGAGCGGAUGAACUGAGGGUAGCGGAGAAAUUCCAAUCGAACCUGGAGAUAGCUGGUUCUCUCCGAAAUAGCUUUAGGGCUAGCCUCAAGUGAUGAUUAUUGGAGGUAGAGCACUGUUUGGACGAGGGGCCCCUCUCGGGUUACCGAAUUCAGACAAACUCCGAAUGCCAAUUAAUUUAACUUGGGAGUCAGAACAUGGGUGAUAAGGUCCGUGUUCGAAAGGGAAACAGCCCAGACCACCAGCUAAGGUCCCAAAAUAUAUGUUAAGUGGAAAAGGAUGUGGCGUUGCCCAGACAACUAGGAUGUUGGCUUAGAAGCAGCCAUCAUUUAAAGAGUGCGUAAUAGCUCACUAGUCGAGUGACACUGCGCCGAAAAUGUACCGGGGCUAAACAUAUUACCGAAGCUGUGGAUUGUCCUUUGGACAAUGGUAGGAGAGCGUUCUAAGGGCGUUGAAGCAUGAUCGUAAGGACAUGUGGAGCGCUUAGAAGUGAGAAUGCCGGUGUGAGUAGCGAAAGACGGGUGAGAAUCCCGUCCACCGAUUGACUAAGGUUUCCAGAGGAAGGCUCGUCCGCUCUGGGUUAGUCGGGUCCUAAGCUGAGGCCGACAGGCGUAGGCGAUGGAUAACAGGUUGAUAUUCCUGUACCACCUAUAAUCGUUUUAAUCGAUGGGGGGGACGCAGUAGGAUAGGCGAAGCGUGCGAUUGGAUUGCACGUCUAAGCAGUAAGGCUGAGUAUUAGGCAAAUCCGGUACUCAUUAAGGCUGAGCUGUGAUGGGGAGAAGACAUUGUGUCUUCGAGUCGUUGAUUUCACACUGCCGAGAAAAGCCUCUAGAUAGAAAAUAGGUGCCCGUACCGCAAACCGACACAGGUAGUCAAGAUGAGAAUUCUAAGGUGAGCGAGCGAACUCUCGUUAAGGAACUCGGCAAAAUGACCCCGUAACUUCGGGAGAAGGGGUGCUCUUUAGGGUUAACGCCCAGAAGAGCCGCAGUGAAUAGGCCCAAGCGACUGUUUAUCAAAAACACAGGUCUCUGCUAAACCGUAAGGUGAUGUAUAGGGGCUGACGCCUGCCCGGUGCUGGAAGGUUAAGAGGAGUGGUUAGCUUCUGCGAAGCUACGAAUCGAAGCCCCAGUAAACGGCGGCCGUAACUAUAACGGUCCUAAGGUAGCGAAAUUCCUUGUCGGGUAAGUUCCGACCCGCACGAAAGGCGUAACGAUUUGGGCACUGUCUCAACGAGAGACUCGGUGAAAUCAUAGUACCUGUGAAGAUGCAGGUUACCCGCGACAGGACGGAAAGACCCCGUGGAGCUUUACUGUAGCCUGAUAUUGAAAUUCGGCACAGCUUGUACAGGAUAGGUAGGAGCCUUUGAAACGUGAGCGCUAGCUUACGUGGAGGCGCUGGUGGGAUACUACCCUAGCUGUGUUGGCUUUCUAACCCGCACCACUUAUCGUGGUGGGAGACAGUGUCAGGCGGGCAGUUUGACUGGGGCGGUCGCCUCCUAAAAGGUAACGGAGGCGCUCAAAGGUUCCCUCAGAAUGGUUGGAAAUCAUUCAUAGAGUGUAAAGGCAUAAGGGAGCUUGACUGCGAGACCUACAAGUCGAG
This 2393-nucleotide ribosomal RNA is filed under the name Staphylococcus aureus VET1822S. Its description in RNAcentral is "bacterial LSU rRNA". It matches the Rfam family "Bacterial large subunit ribosomal RNA", at positions 3 to 2393 of the family's 2925-position model. Lineage: Bacteria; Bacillati; Bacillota; Bacilli; Caryophanales; Staphylococcaceae. The record is from RNAcentral.